RNAcentral lists this ribosomal RNA (254 nucleotides) under uncultured bacterium. RNAcentral's name for it is "partial 16S ribosomal RNA". It matches the Rfam family "Bacterial small subunit ribosomal RNA", at positions 524 to 776 of the family's 1533-position model. The record is from RNAcentral.
UACAGAGGUCCCAAGCGUUGUUCGGAUUCACUGGGCGUAAAGGGUGCGUAGGCGGGUCUUUUAAGUCAGGGGUGAAAUCCUGGAGCUCAACUCCAGAACUGCCUUUGAUACUGAGGAUCUUGAGUUCGGGAGAGGUGAGUGGAACUGCGAGUGUAGAGGUGAAAUUCGUAGAUAUUCGCAAGAACACCAGUGGCGAAGGCGGCUCACUGGCCCGAUACUGACGCUGAGGCACGAAAGCGUGGGGAGCAAACAGG